AACAGGCCAAGGCCAGGAGUCGGGCAUGGCUGUUCAAGGAAGUGGUAUAAUGGCCAGACAGGCCUGCUCCCUGCAGUGUUGCUGCAACCUGAAGGGCUGGGUUCCCUCCUGGGCAGGCCAGGGCUCCCAGACAGUGGUGGGGCAGACAAGGUGACUGAGGGCAGGACUGUUCCCCCUGUAGUACCAACUCGCCCCUGUAUGAGUGCCAUCCAGAGCAGAUGCUGCUCCAUCACCCGCAGGGCAGUGGGACAGGAACAACGGACCCAAGUUCCCCCUUGAGGAUUUGUAUGGCCCUGCAGAGAGGCUGUACUGUCAAAGCCAACCUCAAGCAAAGCAGGGACGAGGGUGUGGCUCUAUGACUGGCAGGGCCAUGGGCCAGUCAACUUUCUAUUUCCUCUAAAUAAAACUGGAAUGACUUC
This 419-nucleotide long non-coding RNA is filed under the name Rattus norvegicus (Norway rat). Its description in RNAcentral is "long non-coding RNA NONRATT004086". The record is from RNAcentral. Lineage: Eukaryota; Metazoa; Chordata; Mammalia; Rodentia; Muridae.